UAUUAAAAAUUCCAUCCCUUUGUACCAUUAAAAAUUUGUAUAGUUGAUAGAAUAACCAGACAUUGACACUUGGCGUGUCAUGUGUACCUCAUGCUGACGUAUAUGGACCAAUUUUUAACGAUAGAAAUAGAUGAAAUUUUUAAUA
This is a non-coding RNA of Gossypium raimondii (Peruvian cotton), 145 nucleotides long. NCBI's taxonomy places the organism in Eukaryota, Viridiplantae, Streptophyta, Magnoliopsida, Malvales, Malvaceae. The record is from Rfam.